This is a non-coding RNA of Tachysurus fulvidraco (yellow catfish), 804 nucleotides long. The record is from the annotation of a RefSeq genome assembly. Lineage: Eukaryota; Metazoa; Chordata; Actinopteri; Siluriformes; Bagridae.
CUUUCUUUCUGUCACUGAGCUUUACUCCUUCUCAAUACAGGAGCAGGAGAAAGCCGUCUGUGUGAAAUAAACCAUCACCACGUAAACAUUCCUACAUUUAGGUUUCCUAAUGUGUUCCUUAGAUGAGUGAGGUGUCUUCUAACAAUGAUUCGAUUUGGUUCCCUUUCUGAUAGAGAAACAUUCUGUUGUAGAGAUUUACAUAGUACCUUAUCAUCCACUCAUCUAUCCAGUGAGCAGCGUGUGGUUGUGGGUUGAACACCUCCAUAGUGGUCAUGGACGCUCCAUAUUCAAAUAGAGUGGUGUAUAAACAGCAUGUUCUUGGCUGCUCUAGUUUCCAGUGAGCUCUGUGAGAGAUAACACUCCCAUACACUUUAAAUCUGGGUGAAGCAGAACUCAGAGAAGGAUGAUUUUAGGACAGUGUAUUUUAUUGCUACUCAUUUCAUAUUCUUAUGGACAGUCCCUGACCUCCUCUGAUUCUGUGGUGAAGAGACCUGGAGAGUCGGUCACUCUGUACUGUACUGUCUCCGGUUUCUCAAUGGGCUACUGGAUGCACUGGAUCCGUCAGAAACCAGGACAAGGACUGGAGUGGAUCGGGCGCAUUGAUGGUGGCACCGGCACUGCAUUCGCUCAGUCUCUACAGGGCCAGUUCUCCAUCAGUAAAGACACCAAUAAAAACUUGCUGUAUCUAGAAGUGAAGAGUGUGAAAGCUGAAGACACGGCAGUUUAUUACUGUGCACGAGAGUCACACUGACACAACAGACUCCAGAGCUGUACAAAAACUUACACAAGCACGUCAUCGUGAGC